Ictalurus punctatus (channel catfish) is the source of this 1347-nucleotide long non-coding RNA. NCBI's taxonomy places the organism in Eukaryota, Metazoa, Chordata, Actinopteri, Siluriformes, Ictaluridae. The record is from Ensembl.
ACAGACGUGUAGAUGUGUACACAGACGUGUAGAUGUGUACACAGACGUGUAGAUGUGUACACAGACGUAUACACAGACGUGUAGACGUGUACACAGACGUGUAGACAUGUACACAGACGUAUACACAGAUGUGUAGAUGUGUACACAGACGUGUAGACAUGUACACAGACGUAUACAUAGACGUGUAGACGUGUACACAGACAUGUACACAGACGUGUAGACGUGUACACAGACGUAUACACAGACGUGUAGACGUAUACACAGACGUAUACACAGAUGUGUAGACGUGUGCACAGACAUGUAGACAUGUACACAGACGUAUACACAGACGUGUAGACGUGUACACAGACAUGUACACAGACGUGUAGACGUGUACACAGACGUUAUACAUAGACGUGUAGACUUGUACACAGACGUGUACACAGACGUAUACACAGACGUGUAGAUGUGUACACAGACGUGUAGACGUGUACACAGACGUCUACAGUACACAGACGUGUAGACGUGUACACAGACGUAUACACAGACGUGUAGAUGUGUACACAGACGUGUAGACGUGUACACAGACGUCUACAGUACACAGACGUGUAGACGUGUACACAGACGUAUACACAGACGUGUAGAUGUGUACACAGACGUGUAGAUGUGUACACAGACGUGUAGACGUGUACACAGACGUUUAAUAUUGAUACACAACUGCUGGACAUGUAAAAGUCGCGUUCAGUUGUGUUAGCGUUUUUUUUUUUAUUGCUUGUGGUUAGCUGUUUUAAAUCUGUUCCACUCUCUCUCUCUGAGAAACACUUCCCCCUUUUCCUUUUUUAAUCUGAUAAUUCCUUAUUUUAGACAGCAGAGAGCCUGUGCUGGAGCUCACCAGCUCAGAAUUGGGAACACGUGUCUCACUCUCUCUCUCUGUCUCACUCUCUUUCAUGCUCUCUCUCUCUCUCUCUCUCUCUCUCUCUGACGGUCUCUCUUAUUCACUCUCUCUCACGCUCUCUCUCUCUUUCUGUCUCUCUUUCUCUCUCUCUCUCUCUCUCUCUCUCUGACGGUCUCUCUUAUUCACUCUCUCUCUCACGCUCUCUCUCUCUCUUUCUGUCUCUUUUCUCUCUCUCUCUCUCUCUCCCCGUCUGUCUCUCUUAUUCACUCUCUCUCACUCUCUCUUGUUGUCUUUCUUAUUCUCCCUCUUUUGUCUCUCUUACUUACUCUCUCUUUCUGUUUCUCUUAGUCACUCUCUCUCAUGCUCUCUCUCUCUUUCUGUCUCUCUUACUCGCUCUCUUUCUCUGUCUGUCUCUCUUAGUCACUCUCUCUCUUUCUGUCUCUCUUACUCUCUCUCUCUCUCUCUGUCUGUCU